ACGGAGCAAUGCCGCGUGCAGGAUGAAUCUCUUCGGAGUGUAAACUGCUGUCAGAGACUAGGAACUCAAUGACCAAUCUCAAAGGAAGGGCCGGCUAACUUCGUGCCAGCAGCCGCGGUAAUACGAAGGGCCCGAGCGUUAUUCGGAAUCACUGGGCUUAAAGCGUACGUAGGCUGGUAUAUAGGCAUUUUGUGAAAUCCCUCGGCUCAACCGAGGAACUGCAGGGUGAACCAUAUAUCUUGAGACAGACAGAAGUCGUCGGAACGAUUGGUGGAGUGGUGAAAUGCGUUGAUAUCAAUCGGAACGCCGAAGGAGAAGUCAGGCGACUGGGUCUGUUCUGACGCUGAGGUACGAAAGCGUGGGUAGCGAACGGGAUUAGAUACCCCGGUAGUCCACGCCGUAAACGAUGUGCACUAGGUCGAGGGCGUUCUGACGCGACUCUCGGCCGAAGCGAAAGUGUUAAGUGCACCGCCUGGGGAGUACGGUCGCAAGGCUAAAACUCAAAGGAAUUGACGGGGGCUCACACAAGCGGUGGAGCAUGUGGCUUAAUUCGAAGCAACGCGAAGAACCUUAUCCUAGGUUUGACAUACACGGAUUAGCUCUAAGAAACUAGAGUGACACCUUUUAGGUGGAACGUGAACAGGUGCUGCAUGGCUGUCGUCAGCUCGUGCUGUGAAGUGUCGGGUUAAGUCCCUUAACGAGCGCAACCCUUAUCGUUAGUUGCUAACAGGUAAUGCUGAGGACUCUAGCGAGACUGCCGGUGUUA
RNAcentral lists this ribosomal RNA (766 nucleotides) under uncultured Planctomycetota bacterium. RNAcentral's name for it is "bacterial SSU rRNA". It matches the Rfam family "Bacterial small subunit ribosomal RNA", at positions 386 to 1160 of the family's 1533-position model. The record is from RNAcentral. Lineage: Bacteria; Pseudomonadati; Planctomycetota.